UUUUUGAUUAUAAUUUAAAGUCUGGUCUGCCCACUGAUUAAUUUAUUGAAGGGCUGCAGUAUUUUGACUGUACAAAGGUAGCAUAAUCAUUAGUCUCUUAAUUGGUGACUUGUAUGAAAGAUUUGAUGAAAUAUAAACUGUCUCUUUUUAAUUUGUAAAACUUAAUUUUUUAGUUAAAAAGCUAAAAUAUAUUUAAAAGACGAGAAGACCCUAUAGAGUUUUAUAAUUAAUAAAAUUAUUAUUUUAUAUAAAUAAUUUAAUAAAAAUUUAAUUAAUUAUUUUAUUGGGGUGAUAGAAAAAUUGAAUUAACUUUUUUUAAAAAUUAAACAUGGAUAAAUGAAAAUAUGAUCCGAUUAUAUCGAUUAAAAGAAUAAAUUACCUUAGGGAUAACAGCGUAAUUUUUUUUUUUAGUUCGAAUAAAAAAAAAAGUUUGCGACCUCGAUGUUGGAUUAAGAUAAAAUUUAAAUGCAAAAGUUUAAAAUUUUGAUCUGUUCGAUCAUUAAAAUCUUACAUG
RNAcentral lists this ribosomal RNA (514 nucleotides) under Graphium eurypylus. RNAcentral's name for it is "partial 16S ribosomal RNA". The stretch from base 386 to 514 matches the Rfam family "Bacterial large subunit ribosomal RNA", at positions 2473 to 2602 of the family's 2925-position model. The record is from RNAcentral. Lineage: Eukaryota; Metazoa; Arthropoda; Insecta; Lepidoptera; Papilionidae.